GUUCAACAGAAGAAGAGAGGAAACAAGCACAGGAGUCAAAGAUAAGGCGGCAAAUGAAACUUAAUAGGAGGAUUCUUACAAAGAUAACUCCAUUUUCUAAAGAAAUUAAUUGUGAAUUCUUUCUAGCGGAGAACCAACAUCAGAAGUAUUAUUUGCAGAAGUAUUACAAGCUCUGUCAGAGUUUGAACCUACGGAGCACUCAACAAUUUGUGGACUCCUACAUUGCUUGCAAAUUCAACGGAGUAUUGGCUUUGGAUGGGGAACUCAUCUUGGACAAGUUACCACAAUUAUCGACGACUUGUCUGUUACCCAAGCAAUGCCGAUCAACUUGUGAUGAAAUUAUACAAGAUUUAAAGAGAAGUUUAAUCAGCCAUACUUCUUAAGUAGUGACUUCAUUAUUUUUUUUUCACUCUAUAUAUAUCUUAUACUAGAAAUCAAUUGAAAUUUGAUAAUGGUAUGGUAACGAUCCGACUGGUCGUUUUGAGUA
This is a non-coding RNA of Nicotiana tabacum (common tobacco), 487 nucleotides long. The record is from RefSeq and is a predicted model, not a curated record. NCBI's taxonomy places the organism in Eukaryota, Viridiplantae, Streptophyta, Magnoliopsida, Solanales, Solanaceae.